AACCUUGGCCUAAAAUUACUUAAAAAGGCAAAGGGGAAGACAAAUACGCCCAUAACUAGAUAAAGUAACGUGAGGAAUAGGUUACAUUGUCCUGGACCAAAAAUGAUGAAGACAGCUUUUGUGUGUUUAUUGUUCGGCUUGAUUGUGGUAUCAGAAGUUACCAAACUAACAGUAAAUGCUCAAAAUAGUAGCUCGACAACGAUGGCUCCAAAUACCACAACACCAGCUGGAGCCGUGGGCAUGCAUGGGACCUCUGUGAUAUUGCAAAUUGUUCUUGCUAUCACUGGAGCCCUGUUCCUCGAAUUUCUCAGGAACUAACAAGAAAUGCACCGUUACGUACAAACUGUCACGAUGAUACAUCGUACUUCAGAAACAUCCAAAAUAUAUUAGUGAAUGAAUUUUGUACUAUACACAUAAACAAAUCAGACUGCACGUAUAUGUAAAUUCUUCUUUAUUUUACAAUAGAUGUGUGUUCUUUUUCUGCUUAUAUUUAAUGACGAAUCUCUGAUGACGGUCACUGAAUCCACCAUUUGAGCUGAAUUUUUGCUAUUCUAAGCAAUAUUGAUGACGCUUGGGUUGGACGUCUGUUGAUCAUUUAGGGAAUUUCCGAGUUCUCAAAGCACUAACUUCAAUACACUUCUAAAUAAAAUAUAUUUUAUAUA
Molecule: long non-coding RNA, 662 nt
Organism: Mercenaria mercenaria
Lineage: Eukaryota; Metazoa; Mollusca; Bivalvia; Venerida; Veneridae
Exons: 4
Source: RefSeq, a predicted model, not a curated record